This is a long non-coding RNA of Mangifera indica (mango), 824 nucleotides long. RefSeq lists it as uncharacterized. The record is from RefSeq and is a predicted model, not a curated record. Lineage: Eukaryota; Viridiplantae; Streptophyta; Magnoliopsida; Sapindales; Anacardiaceae. The transcript has 2 exons.
AAACUGAAUUUAAUCAAAUGAAUGACUCAUAAAUUGGAUUACGGCAAACACCCUUUAAGACAACUUUGACUCAGUUAUCAACCAGGCCCAUGACUGUGUCUUGAGCACAUUUUGAACUCAAUCCAUACAAACUUGAUCCAAGCUGACGUUUGAAUUUGAGUCAGGGCUUGGGUCAGCCCUAGUUUUCUAGGAUUCUUUCCCUUGAUUUGACAAAACUCUGAUCUACCAGUUUCUUCAAUUGUAUUGCGGCAUUGCCUAAAACAUUAGCAACUGUGUCUGUUGACAAUUGGUCUUUGAGUUAGUAGGUGUACUUGUUUCACGUUGAUGCGGAUAAUGCAUCACUGGCACCCAUCGAGAAGCGCCACAGCCGCAUAAAGAUGUCUUGCUAUAAAUGGUGAGAACCUACCCAUAUGAAACAGUAACUGCCCAACUUCGCGCAUAACCCGAGAUAAAACAGCACAUUGUUUCAAUUUUCAACAAAGCUUCUGAACUGGUGGGGUUGGUAUUUUAUCAAGCGUCUGCGCAACGCAAGACAUGGAUGGAUCUGCAUUUAAUGGUCUACAUUUCUCCCGUUAGUUUUUAUAGGCUGAGAGAUUAUCAAACUCUUCCCACUAUCACAGGUAAUUUCCAUUUUUAUUCGGCCCUCUAAAUACUGCAAAGAGUGCCGUAUCAUUAUGAAGUUACUAAAUCACAUUUUUCCGCCCUAGGUAUAGCCCAAAAACAUUUUUUUCACUCUUUGAUGACAUAAAUUACACUUUCUUAUUCAAAACUUAACUCCGUUGGUGGAACAUAAUCUUGUUGUAAUGUUAAAAAGUUAAAUUAUC